This 449-nucleotide ribosomal RNA is filed under the name uncultured bacterium. Its description in RNAcentral is "partial 16S ribosomal RNA". It matches the Rfam family "Bacterial small subunit ribosomal RNA", at positions 29 to 523 of the family's 1533-position model. The record is from RNAcentral.
AACGAACGCUGGCGGCAUGCCUAACACAUGCAAGUCGAACGAGACCUUCGGGUCUAGUGGCGCACGGGUGCGUAACGCGUGGGAAUCUGCCCCUCGGUUCGGAAUAACAGUUAGAAAUGACUGCUAAUACCGGAUGAUGACUUCGGUCCAAAGAUUUAUCGCCGAGGGAUGAGCCCGCGUAAGAUUAGGUAGUUGGUGGGGUAAAGGCCUAACAAGCCGAGUAUCUUUAGCUGGUCUGAGAGGAUGAUCAGCCACACUGGGACUGAGACACGGCCCAGACUCCUACGGGAGGCAGCAGUGGGGAAUAUUGGACAAUGGGCGAAAGCCUGAGCCAGCAAUGCCGCGUGAGUGAUGAAGGCCUUAGGGUUGUAAAGCUCUUUUACCAGGGAUGAUAAUGACAGUACCUGGAGAAUAAGCUCCGGCUAACUCCGUGCCAGCAGCCGCAGUAA